Molecule: ribosomal RNA, 460 nt
Filed under: uncultured bacterium
Lineage: Bacteria
Description: partial 16S ribosomal RNA
Rfam family: Bacterial small subunit ribosomal RNA
Source: RNAcentral
CCUACGGGAGGCAGCAGUGAGGAAUAUUGGUCAAUGGGCGCUAGCCUGAACCAGCCAAGUAGCGUGAAGGAUGACUGCCCUAUGGGUUGUAAACUUCUUUUAUAUGGGAAUAAAGUGCAGUAUGUAUACUGCUUUGCAUGUACCUUAUGAAUAAGGAUCGGCUAAAUCCGGUCCAGCAGCCGCGGUAAUAAGGAGGAUUCGAGCGUUAUCCGGAUUUAUUGGGUGUUAAGGGAGCGUAGGCGGGUUGUUAAGUCAGGUGUGAAAGUUUGGGGCUCAACCGUAAGAUUGCCGUUGAAACUGGCAGCCUUGAGUACAGUAGAGGUAGGCGGAAUGCGUGGUGUAGCGGUGAAAUGCUUAGAUAUCACGAAGAACUCCGAUUGCGAAGGCAGCCUGCUGGACUGUAACUGACGCUGAUGCUCGAAAGUGUGGGUAUCGAACAGGAUUAGAUACCCCGGUAGUC